CAGAGUUAUCCAACUCCCAAACCCAUGUGAACUUAUCUCUUUGUUGCCUCGGCGCAAGCUACCCGGGACCCAGCGCCCCGGGCGGCCCGCCGGCGGACAAACCAGAACUCUUGUUAUCUUAGUUGAUUAUCUGAGUGUCUUAUUUAAUAAGUCA
Molecule: unclassified non-coding RNA, 154 nt
Filed under: soil metagenome
Description: partial internal transcribed spacer 1
Source: RNAcentral